RNAcentral lists this ribosomal RNA (119 nucleotides) under Pteropus alecto (black flying fox). The record is from RNAcentral. Lineage: Eukaryota; Metazoa; Chordata; Mammalia; Chiroptera; Pteropodidae.
GUCUGAUCUCGGAAGACCAUGAACACGCCCGAUCCCGUCUGAUCUCGGAAGCUAAGCAGGGUCGGGCCUGGUUAGUGCUUAGAUGGGAGACGACCUAGGAAGACCAGAUGUUGUAGGCG